UUUCCCAUUUGACUACCACAUUAUCUCCUGAUAGAUUUUAGUGGCUAUGCUUGUGGGAUAGAUAAGAACUGCCGUGAUCUGAAGAGGGGGAAUUUGCUCGUGUCCUCCUCCUAUAUGAAAUGGCUGAACAGAGCAUU
Molecule: small nucleolar RNA, 137 nt
Organism: Bison bison bison
Lineage: Eukaryota; Metazoa; Chordata; Mammalia; Artiodactyla; Bovidae
Gene: SNORA29
Product: small nucleolar RNA, H/ACA box 29
Source: Ensembl